GCUUCCCUGGAAGGUAUAAUAAAGUCUAAUUCUCUUCCUUACUUAAGAAAAAUAUGAUGAGGGAAACUGGAAUUCACUGACAAGAUGACCACUUAAACAUCAGCCAAUAAGGUAAUUAGUAUUUUUAAAUCUUGGCACUCUCAUAUUUGACCAACCUUUCCAUUAAAGUGCAAGAAAA
Molecule: long non-coding RNA, 178 nt
Filed under: Phascolarctos cinereus (koala)
Lineage: Eukaryota; Metazoa; Chordata; Mammalia; Diprotodontia; Phascolarctidae
Description: Embryonic ventral forebrain RNA 1 conserved region 1 (ENSPCIG00000013159.2)
Rfam family: Embryonic ventral forebrain RNA 1 conserved region 1
About the family: Evf-1 (Embryonic ventral forebrain-1) is a developmentally-regulated long non-coding RNA.
Source: RNAcentral